Long non-coding RNA from Gadus chalcogrammus (walleye pollock), 174 nucleotides. RefSeq lists it as uncharacterized. The transcript is spliced from 3 exons. Lineage: Eukaryota; Metazoa; Chordata; Actinopteri; Gadiformes; Gadidae. The record is from RefSeq and is a predicted model, not a curated record.
GUCCUUACUGUGUUUAACAUCAGACAUACAGUCAGAGGCUGAAGACCCUAUCAGAAGGAAAAAAAGGCCAAACUCACGCUACCUGCAGGAGCCAGCUGGAAGAGCCCAGACCACUAGGGGCCCGCCGCAACACUAUUUUGAAGGUGUGGACACUGAUGACGAGGCACCACCCCC